This 500-nucleotide ribosomal RNA is filed under the name uncultured bacterium. RNAcentral's name for it is "partial 16S ribosomal RNA". It matches the Rfam family "Bacterial small subunit ribosomal RNA", at positions 30 to 523 of the family's 1533-position model. The record is from RNAcentral.
AUUGAACGCUGGCGGAAUGCUUUACACAUGCAAGUCGAACGGCAGCACGGACUUCGGUCUGGUGGCGAGUGGCGAACGGGUGAGUAUUGUAUCGGAACGUGCCCAGUCGUGGGGGAUAACGUAGUGAAAAUUACGCUAAUACCGCAUACGAUCUAUGGAUGAAAGCGGGGGAUCGCAAGACCUCGCGCGAUUGGAGCGGCCGAUAUCAGAUUAGGUAGUUGGUGGGGUAAAGGCCCACCAAGCCAACGAUCUGUAGCUGGUCUGAGAGGACGACCAGCCACACUGGAACGGAGACACGGUCCAGACUCCUACGGGAGGCAGCAGGGGGGAAUGUUGGACAAUGGGCGAAAGCCUGAUCCAGCCAUUCCGCGUGCAGGAUGAAGGCCCUCGGGUUGUAAACUGCUUUUGUACAGAACGAAAAGGUUUCUACUAAUACUAGGAGCUCAUGACGGUACUGUAAGAAUAAGCACCGGCUAACUACGUGCCAGCCGCCGCCGUAA